CCACUUACCUCCCGCAACCACUACCACCCACGUUGUCCACAGUAUUCAGCUGUCUCAGGGAGGAUCACAAUUAUUCUAAUGGGACUGCAAAGAGUGAAGGACACAGCUUUUAACAUCAGAUUCGAAUCCUACAAUUUGGAACCCAUGGGCACUUCUAGAUUGGAUCUUGCAGAGAUUUUUUACAACAGAAAUAAUGGAAAGGCAAAAGAAAACAUUGAGUAAUAACCAACCCAAGCAAGUCCAGCCUCUUUCUGCAGAAGAUCUCCGUGGGUCUUUUUAUCCUUAAGAAGUUUUGGAGGCAAGGAAGAGCAGAAAUCACUCUCCGCAUUGGAUAGAUGAAGAAAGGAGCCUCAGAGAAGAGAUUCAGAGGUUCUCCUAAGGCCACUAACUAAUAAAUGAUGACAUGAGAGUAAACUGAAGACUUGCAGUGCCAGGGUUGGUGUGGUCCUCCCUGAUGGGGGCCUUGACCUGUGAGGCCAAGGACAACAAAGGAACAGCUGUCUCCUUGCCAUGGAAGUGGCCCAGUAACCAGAAGGACUCAACUGUCAGGGCUGCAAGAACUUCCCAAGGACCCAGCUCUCUGCUGGAGCUGCAAUCAAGAAAUUGAAACACCUGUGGAGCCCCACCUCGCUGAAGAACCAGCACACCUGUCGACCACUGUCUUUCCACCUGCAGAUCCAGGAAGAAAACCAAAGCAAGGAGUAGGGAGAGGCUGUCCUCGGAGAGGCUGUUCUAGGACUGUGCUGCUCCCCUGGGUGCGCAGCCCCUGUGUCUUCCUCCUUGCGUUACCACUUUCCCUGCCCAUGAACUGAAGGCUCUCUCCUCCCUCUCCCUCUCUGCAUCUUAAAGCUGAGCCCACUAACAUAAAGCCUGGACAACUUGAUCUGCAGUGAAAUCUUGAAGACAAAGUCUGGCCUCCUCAUUAGAAUCCACAUGUUAUUGAGCCUUACCCACUGGUGCUGGCCCUGGCACAGAGAAGGCAACUUAAUACGUUAAUACAACUUAAUAAACUUGUAGAAUGAAUGAAUAUUGUCUGGAAGACACACCAAGUCAAGGGUCGUUUGACAUCUAAUGUUCAAAAACUAUUUUGUGCACCUACCAUUUAGUGGGUACUAUCCUAUUUAUUUAGGACAUGCUGGUGAAGCAAACGGAUUCAUUCUCUGCCCUUGAUAUAUUUUAGCAGGGAAUACAAACAAGUAGUUGCCAUGCAUGUGAUGGUAUGAGAUCCAACAGAUGAAAAGCUCUUACCACCUCCAGGCUCUGUGUUGCACAGAAGCACAGCCUACACUAGAGUCUUCAGUUCCAGCUGACUUUGCAAUCUGGACUUUCCAACGUCUAGUGUGAGCUAAGAUUUGGCUGCCUUUCCCCACUUCCUGCCCCAUGUAGCAGGCCUCUUUUGGCCCUGGGUAUGGAGUAUUCCUACCUCUUGGCAUAAUUCCAGUCUUAUGUAGUGACACCUGCAUCGGUGAGUGGCUGUAGCAACUAUCUAGGCCUGUCUAGAAAUUAAAGCUCUAACUCUAAACUUUGAAAGUCAGGCAAGCAACAGCAGCCCUUCCCUUUCAGGCACCUACCAGCCAUCCUGCUGAAGAUAACCUGGAUUUGCAUCUUCUGGAUGGGAUAGAAGCUGUGACUAAUACUGAGCCAUCUAGGGCAGCAGCCCCCAACCUUUUUGACACCAGGAACUGGUUUCGUGGAAGACAAUUUUUCCACGGACUUGGGGUGAGGGGGAUGGUUUCAGGAUGAUUCAAGCACAUUACAUUUAUUGUGCACUUUAUUCUAUUAUUGUUACAUUGUAAUAUGUAAUGAAAUACUUAUUCAACUCACCAUAAUGUAGAAUCAGUGAAUCAGUAGGAGCCCUGAGCUUGUUCUCCUGCAACCAGACGGUCCCAUCUGGGGGUGAUGGGAGACAGUGACAGAUCAUCAGACAUUAGGUUCUCAUGAGGUGUGUGCAACCUAGAUCUCUCACAUGCACAGUUCUCAAUAGAGUUCGUGCUCCUAUGAGAAUCUGAUGCUGCUGCUGAUGUGGCAGGAGGUGAAACUCAGGUGGUAACGUGAGCAAUGGGGAGUAGCUGUAAAUACAGAUGAAGCUUCGCUCACUCACCUAGCACUUGCCUCCUGCUGUGAAGCCCAGUUUGUAACAGGCCACAGCCAUGGACUAACUAAAAUUAUCCCUAAGUGAAGGUGAGGAUUUCAAAGGCCAAUACAAUGUGUUGAAUGCGGAAGCACUGCAGGGUCUGGAUGCUCAAAUAAUUGUUCUUUUUCUCAAUUUUGGAAAGAAAGUUGUCAAUCUAAAAAGAGCGGUGUUGAAGAACCUGCUCAUUAGAUUAGCCAUGCUUGGCUAAAGGGGAAUGUUAUAGUACUUUCUUUUUUUUCUUGAGUAAAAUCACACUCUGGAAAUGGUUGAGUUGCAGAAACAUCUGGGGGCACUUUAUGACGUUAAUAAGAAGUUUGGCCCUUGAUGCAAGGUUAAUUUAUUUGGGAUGAAACCAUAGCUAGUUCAACUUCCUAUCAUGCUCUCCAGAAAAACCCAUGGCCUGGAAUCCUCCAGGCAAAGCUCAUUUACAUUUUUUAUCUCCCUAUAGUCAAUUCUGAAAUUCCAGUGGUCAUGUUCAGACAUAACUUACUAGAAGAGUCAUUUCAUUCAGAAACGUCUUAAUUUUAAAUGACAUCUUGAGUCUCCAAAUCUGUGCUAUGGAGACUUCUUUAUUUUGAGGUGCUCAUUCUGGUUGAGUAUAUUUAGUGUUUAAGAAAGCAAUUCAAAAGUUAAAAACUAUGUUUGUUUGUUUUUUUUCAUUGAGUCCCUCUGUCUGGACAAGGAAGACUCCUUCUAAUACCCUUUCUGGUGCUGCAGACUUUCAAUUUCUACUUACAGUGUUUGUGGAUGGCAAUGGAAAAUGUAUUUCCUGCUGAGCCUGAACUGGAAAUAAAAUUUUGGA
RNAcentral lists this long non-coding RNA (2936 nucleotides) under Homo sapiens (human). RNAcentral's name for it is "HSALNT0225326". The record is from RNAcentral. Lineage: Eukaryota; Metazoa; Chordata; Mammalia; Primates; Hominidae.